CCCUUAGAUGCUCUGGGCCGCACGCGCGCUACACUGGUCGAUGCAACGAGUUUCUUUCCUUGGCCGACAGGCCUGGGCAAUCUUUGAACAUCGAUCGUGAUCGGGAUAGAUUCUUGUAAUUUUUGAUCUUAAACGAGGAAUUCCUAGUAAACGCAAGUCAUCAGCUUGCAUUGAUUACGUCCCUGCCCUUUGUACACACCGCCCGUCGCACCUACCGAUUGAAUGGUCCGGUGAAAUCUUCGGAUCUGAGAGAUGUCUGAUUAAUUUCGGACGCCUUUUGGAAAAGUUGCUUAAACCUUACCAUUUAGAGGAAGGUGAAGUCGUAACA
Molecule: ribosomal RNA, 328 nt
Filed under: uncultured eukaryote
Lineage: Eukaryota
Description: partial 18S ribosomal RNA
Rfam family: Eukaryotic small subunit ribosomal RNA
Source: RNAcentral